Molecule: long non-coding RNA, 1064 nt
Filed under: Equus asinus (donkey)
Lineage: Eukaryota; Metazoa; Chordata; Mammalia; Perissodactyla; Equidae
Description: lncRNA (ENSEASG00005035076.1)
Source: RNAcentral
CUCAUCUCCUGAGAGCAUUGCCUUUGCCAGAACCUAAACCACCCAGUUCGCAAGGCAUUCUGGGAAAUGUAGUUUUCAAGCAUCUAGCUCCAGCGGCGGAAGGCUACUGUAGAAAGAUGUGUGGGCCUCAGAACCAACGAAAAAUAACAGGUUUUUGUAACUCUGAAAUUUAUAUGGAAGAUCCAGGUCCAAGCCACACCUGAAAAAGACUGUGUGAAAUUGCUCUGUCAUACGUUGAGACUUGAUAUAUGCAUAUGAAAAAGAAGAGAAGGAAGAAAUCAGAGAAGAAAAGGAGAGCAAGGACAAGAGGAAAGAGAGCGAACAGAAGAAAUUAAAGAAGAAAGGGAGGGAGGGAGGGAGAAAUGGAAGGAGAGACACAGGGAGGCACGGAAGGAGCGACUGAGAAAGGAAGGCAGGGAGCAAGAGAGGUGGGGCAAGGAUCUUACUGGAGCUCCAUUCCAAACAGGAGGAGGAGAGCUGCUUCAGGUGGAGCUGGGGGGGAUCUGGGUCCCCAGAUGCUUUGCCUUUUGUUCUCUUGCAGCACCUGAGGCAACUUUAAGAAUUUUAACACUCUUGAGAAGACAGGAAAUAACCCUUGUUCAGAGCUACAGCAGCCUUCCAGCUUUGCAAGUGUUAUUACUCACUCACUGGGUGUGCAAACAGGGAGAGCACUGGGCAAUACCCCGUGAUACUGAGACCUGUUUGCAGGAGUGUUCUACUCUCUGAGCCACACUUGGAAUCACUUACCUGCUGCAUUUGUUAGGUUUCCUAUUUUAAAAUUAAUAAAAACACAAGGAUAUACACUCACCUCAUGAUACUAGGGCUGGGCUGGAGAAGAAAUAGAAUUAGACGUGAUAAAAAUUAUAAAUUCUGUAAUAUAGCAUCUACGGGAAAAUCCCAUACUGGAAAAAAUGGUUGUCUUUUGUGGUGAGGAAUACGUAAGUGAGUAUUUUUAAUCAUGCUCAGUUGAGGGGAUAAACCCCAAUCAACCGAAUUCCUAAACACUGGAUAAUUGUAGAAAAGUAAAGAGAAACAGAAAUAAAUCUCAAAUAACUGAAUUAACU